This 253-nucleotide ribosomal RNA is filed under the name uncultured bacterium. RNAcentral's name for it is "partial 16S ribosomal RNA". It matches the Rfam family "Bacterial small subunit ribosomal RNA", at positions 524 to 776 of the family's 1533-position model. The record is from RNAcentral.
GACGAACCGUGCGAACGUUGUUCGGAAUCACUGGGCUUAAAGGGCGCGUAGGCGGGCGGGCAAGUCUGCGGUGAAAGCCUCCAGCUCAACUGGAGAAGUGCCGUGGAUACUGCUCAUCUUGAGGAGGGUAGGGGCGUCUGGAACGUUGGGUGGAGCGGUGAAAUGCGUUGAUAUCGGCAGGAACUCCGAUGGCGAAGGCAAGGUGCUGGACCCUUUCUGACGCUGAGGCGCGAAAGCCAGGGGAGCAAACGGG